RNAcentral lists this long non-coding RNA (5081 nucleotides) under Podarcis lilfordi (Lilford's wall lizard). Lineage: Eukaryota; Metazoa; Chordata; Lepidosauria; Squamata; Lacertidae. The record is from RNAcentral.
CAAGCUGCCAACAUGAUUUACUGAAUUUAAUAUUUGUAUAUGCAGUAAUUAUGCUUAUAUGCCAAUAGAUAAUAGUUCUUAGAUUAAAUAAUUAUACACUGAACUUAAAUAAAGUGCCAAGGCCCUGUGACCUGCAGUGCCCACUUGGGAAAAGGAGGUAAUUUUGCAUGUGCAGAGUUAGUUUGGAAACCACAGCCAAAAUAUCGAACCAUUUAUGUUUGUUUCUGAAUGCCAAAGAUAACUAACGACAACAACUUUGUACCAUAAAUAUCAGUAUUAUUUAAGCAGAAGCAAUUUUUACUGGAGAAAAUAAUAAGAGAACACUUUCAAACCGACACAUUGCAAUGUAUUCUUUUUGUACUGAUGGCAGUUUUGCCUCAGAUGUUUGUUUAGUGACCACAGUUGCUAUUUCUGGUUUAAAUGUGGUGUCUGAAAGAAUUUCCUUCAACUUUCUGGUUAGUAUAAUUUUGCAGGAGAAUAGCUAUUCCUAUUUUUUAUUGCAAAGAAAGUAAACUAGCUUCUAAAUACUUGGCUUUUGCAGAACCUAUAGUUUGAGGCAUAAUUAUCUUAUAUUGGGAAUUGUUUUAAUUGGAAAAGAGAUUAAUUCUGGAAGCAAGUCAAGCCUGCUUUAAUGUGUUUUUUUGUCCAUGGUGGGCAUCUGCAAUUAAGGGUCUUGCUCUCUAGAGUCCAAUUCUACAAAUGAUUUUUUACCACUAAAGCCAUGGAUGUCUCUGGAAAAAAAUCAGGCUUUCUGUGCUUCAGUUAUUAGUAAUCUCUUCAUUGCUAAAUGUUGGUGAUGGUCGUAGUUAUGUCCUGGUAGUGUUCUCAUUAGUGAGAAGAAUGGGCACAUGAAUUAAAUGCAGCAAGUGCUGUGAUGUCUCAUCUUCUAAUGAAACAUAGAAGCAAUUAAUAUAACCAGAAUAACAAUGGCGGCAGAGACAACAUUUUUACUACCUCAAGGAGCUGCACCACAUGUUCCAAGAAGAGGUCCACAUAAUCCUUGCAUUGUCACAGAUGCUAUUCUUGAUACAUUUUAGAUCAGGGGUCAGCAAACAUUUUCAACAGGGGGCCAGUCCACUGUCCCUUAGACCUUGUGGGAGGCUGGAAUAUAUAUAUAUAUAUUUGGGGGGGGGGACAAAUUCCUAUGCCCCACAAAUAACCCAGAAAUGCAUUUUAAAUAAAAGGACACAUUCUACUCAUGUAAAAACACGCUGAUUCACGGACCGUCCAUGGGCCGGAUUUAGAAGGUGGUUGGGCCGAAUCUGGCCCCCGGGCCUUAGUUUGCCCACCCAUGUUUUAGAUAAAUCCAAGUUGCAUUUUGAUGUAUGAUAGCAACUGAAACAAUUUAGUUCUAGGCUCCGGUUGAAAAGGAUGCUGGGGUACAGCUAUGGGUAUUCAGUGUCAUUGCAGCAUCCUCUGCAGCAGUGCAAAAAUCCUGAAGUGCACUUCCAGUUGAAAUGUUUACACUGCUGUGUUAUAAAAAACUAAGUGGUUUACAUAGGGUUGCCAUAUUUCAAAAAGUAAAAUUCCUGACACCCGCAAGUUGUUGAACUUAAAACCAUAAAAUGUUAAAAAGCAUGUUACAAGAUAAGCAACUGUUCGAGCUUAUGGUAUAGUCAGGCUAGCUGUGAUGGUGAGUUCCUCCCCCUUCUUUAUAAACCAUCUUUAGAUAUAAAAUACCUCAUCUUUUCUUAUGAGUAAUGAACUUUAAGAAUUAAAUAUUUCUCAAUAUGAAAAGAAAUCAGAGAAGACUAGACUUUUCUUUUUGUAGAUUUGAGAGACAUAUCUACUGAUUCCCCCCCCAAAAAACCUGCAGUUGUAUAAUAUAGUGGCUAGCGGGUCCCCCUCAACCCCAUGAGCAAGGUAAUAACAUACAACUCUCAAAUGAACAAAGCACAGAACCAGAUCUUCUCCAAUCCCAUUGCCUUGGUCCAGCAUCCCCAAGCUGAUGCCCUCCAGAUGUUCUGGACUAAAAUUUCCAUCAGCUGCAUCAGGAGGGAUGGCUAGCUUGGGGAGGCUGCCAGAAGGUCUAUUAGGUCAGAGAUGAUGAUGCAAGUGAAGCUCAACUUUAUUGUCUUCUACUUGAGUAUGUUUAACCUUUUUGUUUUGGACUCACUGCCUUUGUGUGGCUAGUGUAAAAGGAGUAUGGUUUCAGGAUGUUGCUGGGUAAAACACUGUAGUUUGGGAGAACUGGUUGAUCUAGUAUAGGAUGGUAUUAAUAUGCCCCUUUGUCUGGUAAUAUUGGAGGCACUCAAUAUGCAUAGUUGAGGUGCUGAGAAUAUUUGUAUUAAUGCUGAUAACCCUUUUAAGGUUAUUUUUGCACGUUUUGGUUAAAUGCAAAUUGUCCUUCAAUAUACAGUAGCUACUGAAAUAGUUUAAUUCUCAUUUUACAUACAAGAUUAGAUUUUUAUACAUGUACAUUAUGCAGUAAUGGCGAAGGCUAGUGAUAGUCACUUGAGAGAUAAUAGCAUUUAUAUAUUCUAUCAGUUUAAUAACUCUACAGGGCCAAUUGGCCUUUUCAUAUUCCUAUUAUGAUGAUGAUUUAAUGCCCGAUAAAGCAAGUUUUCCUGGAACUCUGGUUUUAGCUGAUCAGAAUAAUUUUGCUUUGCUUCUUUCACCUUCGGAGGCUUAUCUGGAGAGUUUCAGAAUUAUGUGUUGACUCAUUUAUAGGUUCCUGUUACAUAUGUUUGUUAAAUACAACAGACCACAACCUUAAAGUACAGUAUAGGGCAAGAAAGAGUUUCUGCCUGCCCUGGGCUUCUUCUGCCUUUCCUCUGAGCACUACAAUUUAAAUAUUGGUGGAAUAUUCAGAGCAUUUAUUCAGUAGAUCUGUAGUUGAGUGCAAGUCAUGCCCAUUAACAAAAACCUUACAGUAUUGUUUACAAUUAUGAAACAGUGAAUGAGGCCAUGCACUUCAUCCUACUGCAGUGGCAGGAUGCUUAACUUUGUUCAUAUCUUGCACUCGCUGAGCAGAGAACAGGAGGGGGAAAAUGCAUUGUUCUGAAAAACAAAGAACUGAGCAAUAUUAACAAGAUAAACACUGUCCCAAUGAAAGCCAUUUCUGGACUGUGUUUAUCCAAAUUUAAGACACAAGACAUGAGGUAACCUACAUGUGAUGUUUAAUGUGGAAAAUUAAAUGAGUUUCAUGCAUGAGUGAUGAGACAAAAUUUCCUUUUGACACCAGAUUCUUAUGUCAUGGCUUAUCCUAUGAGGUGGGAUUUUCAGUGUGCAUCAGGGUCUUAAAGUGGAAAGCUUAAAAGCCCCUGUCUGUGAGCAGAGUAACAUAAGCAGAAUUGCUGUUGGUUUGGAUCCCUAUGAUUUCUCUUCAAUUCUGAAACUGUCUUGGUAAAAAAUGUGCAGGUAGCAACUCAAAGCCUCCCUCUUUCCAACUUAUAGCGGCAGGGUCGCUAACAUUUAAGCUGUUUAGACAGGCUGUCUCCCUCUUCGCCUUGCCUAUUUCUUUUUAGAAACUUUCUUUCAGUAUACUGUUGUGUCCUUGCUACUGGUUUCUGAAGCUAUCAGCUGUUUUGAUAUUUCAUUAUUUAUCUUCUACAAAUGGUGGGCCAAAAUGCUCAGUUAAAAUCCAUAUUGUCAGUGAUUGAUGGCUAAAUUGAUUAAGGAAUCAGAUAAACUUUCCUUCUAGCAAUGUGGCUGCUUUUUGCUUAUUACAUUUUAACUUGUCUAGCACAUCCAAUAUAAUUAAAACAAUAUUACUAUUCAGGUUUUGGUGAUAUACUACAAAUUUUUUGAAUUGCACAUUUUAAAAGCCAAAUCAAGUCUAAAACAGCUGACAAUCCUACUUCCUCCCAGAAGCUCUAAAAUGAGCAAAUACCAUCUAUGGGGGCGGGGACCCAAACUGAGCUAUCUUGCAGUGCAGUCCUAUACAUGUCUGCUCAAAAGUAUGUACCAUUGUGUUCAGUGAAGCUGACUCCCAUUUCUGGAGGUAAGUCUGAGAAACACAGGCUUUGGAAGUGGUGUUGCCAUACCUUUCCUUAAUAUACCCCCAUUCUCCCUCUGCCACAAUUUUAAUUUCUCAAAAGGGUUUAAUUCUUUAAUUAUUAUUUUCAAAUUGAAUGGCUAACAGUGCAAUCCUGUACUCUUAUUCUGCCAGGAUGAGGGAAGACACACACCAUAUUCAGUGCAUUCUCAGCCCUGGAGAGGAGGAGGGAUAAAACUAGAAAAUGCAAAUAUGGCAUAAAAAUCAGCAGAUAAGCACUACCCAUGACCCUGGAAACACCACCAGUUCUCACCAAUCUGAGACUGCCAAUAACUGAAGAAGCAAAUCAUCUCCUGAUGAUGAAAACACUCUCCCAGCAAACACCAUCACAUACACAAAACACGCAAGGUGGUAAUGGCAGUUGUGGACUGAACUGAGACAAGUGACUUUUUCAUGCUAUGAGCUAUGGAAAAGUCAGGGUAUGUGUGUGUGUAAAUUGAAUGUUGAUUGAUAAUGAGAUUGAUUGAUAAGUGCUAUAUUCUGUUGGUGCCGAACGUCGCAGCAUCUUAGCCAAACAUACACAAUAGCCAGUGGUACCUGUUGGAGGUGUAGAUCUUCAAAUGCUGAGGUAUGGCAUAUAUUUGGGGCAUGUCCUAAAAUCAGAAAAAAUUGGGAAGACAGAUUAAAGACAAUUGAAGUAAUCACUGGUUAUACUUUACCCAUGGGGCCCGCUAAUUCUUCUGUCUGGAUAUCUUAAACUUUACUAACAGUGGAUGGAGAAUUAAUGCAACAUCUCUUAACUGCUGAAAUAAUUAUUAUUUGUUGGAAUUGGAAAAGAAAAUGAGAACACCAUCCUUGAGAGAAUGGAUAACUAAAAUUUGGGACAUAGUAUGUAUGGUUAAGCAUACAUAUAUGGUAAGAAUCAGAUAGGGUUGACAAAUUGAGUCUUUUAAUAAUGUACUUGUGUAAUAAGGUACAGGAUAAUGUAAACUCGUUUAUGUUACUUGGAACCUGUGAUACGAAUUUGUUAUAUUCAACUGUGGUAUUACAAUUUGUUCCUUUAUCUUUAGCUCUAGAUAUCUCUUUCUACUUUUAUUUCAUGUGUCAUCUGUUAUACUUCGUAAAGGUAUAAAUAAAUAUAUGU